Molecule: transfer RNA, 72 nt
Filed under: Ovis aries (sheep)
Lineage: Eukaryota; Metazoa; Chordata; Mammalia; Artiodactyla; Bovidae
Rfam family: tRNA
About the family: Transfer RNA (tRNA) molecules are approximately 80 nucleotides in length. Their secondary structure includes four short double-helical elements and three loops (D, anti-codon, and T loops).
Source: Rfam by way of RNAcentral
UCCCUACUAGCUCAGGUGGUAAAGGUUCUGCCUGCAGUGCAGGAGACCUGGGUUCGACCCCUGGGUUGGGAA